RNAcentral lists this transfer RNA (68 nucleotides) under Ictidomys tridecemlineatus (thirteen-lined ground squirrel). RNAcentral describes it as "Spermophilus tridecemlineatus (thirteen-lined ground squirrel) tRNA". It matches the Rfam family "tRNA". From Rfam's summary of the family: Transfer RNA (tRNA) molecules are approximately 80 nucleotides in length. The record is from Rfam by way of RNAcentral. Lineage: Eukaryota; Metazoa; Chordata; Mammalia; Rodentia; Sciuridae.
GGAGUUGUAGCUCAGAGGUAGAGCACUUGCCUUGCAAGUGUGAGGCACUGGGUUCGAUCUCAGCACCA